UGAGGAAUAUUGCGCAAUGGCCGAAAGGCUGACGCAGCGACGCCGCGUGAGGGAUGAAGUCCGUUAGGAUGUAAACCUCUUUUGCAGGGGAUGAAUGUCCCGUUUGACGGGAUUGACAGUACCCUGCGAAUAAGGAUCGGCUAACUACGUGCCAGCAGCCGCGGUAAUACGUAGGAUCCGAGCGUUGUCCGGAAUUACUGGGUGUAAAGGGCGUGUAGGUGGGUUCCUAAGUCGAUGGUGAAAUCCUGCAGCUUAACUGCAGAACUGCCUUCGAUACUGGGGAUCUUGAGUGCGGCAGAGGGAGAUGGAAUUCAUGGUGUAGCGGUGAAAUGUGUAGAUAUCAUGAAGAACACCGGUAGCGAAGGCGGUCUCCUGGUCCGCAACUGACACUGAGGCGCGAAAGCGUGGGGAGCAAACAGG
RNAcentral lists this ribosomal RNA (420 nucleotides) under uncultured bacterium. RNAcentral describes it as "bacterial SSU rRNA". It matches the Rfam family "Bacterial small subunit ribosomal RNA", at positions 355 to 776 of the family's 1533-position model. RNAcentral also lists the same sequence under 1 other name. The record is from RNAcentral.